UGAGAGAGAGUCCUGCGUCUGAUUAGUUAGUUGGUGAGGUAACGGCUCACCAAGACUUCGAUCAGUAGCCGGCCUGAGAGGGCGAUCGGCCACACUGGAACUGAGACACGGUCCAGACUCCUACGGGAGGCAGCAGUGGGGAAUCUUGCACAAUGGAGGAAACUCUGAUGCAGCGAUGCCGCGUGAGUGAAGAAGGCCUUUGGGUUGUAAAGCUCUUUUGUAGGAGAAGAUAAUGACUGUACCCUAAGAAUAAGGUCCGGCUAACUUCGUGCCAGCAGCCGCGGUAAUACGAAGGGACCUAGCGUAGUUCGGAAUUACUGGGCGUAAAGCGCGCGUAGGCCGUUGAGUUAGUUAAUUGUGAAAUCCCAAAGCUUAACUUUGGAACUGCAAUUAAAACUGCUCGACUAGAGUUUGAUAGAGGAAAGCGGAAUACAUAGUGUAGAGGUGAAAUUCGUAGAUAUUAUGUAGAACACCAGUUGCGAAGGCGGCUUUCUGGGUCAACACUGACGCUGAGGCGCGAAAGUAUGGGUAGCAAAGAGGAUUAGAUACCCUCGUAGUCCAUACCAUAAACGAUGAUUGCUAGAUGUUGGAAAUUUAUUUUCAGUAUCGCAGCUAACGCAUUAAGCAAUCCGCCUGGGGAGUACGACCGCAAGGUUAAAACUCAAAUGAAUUGACGGGGACCCGCACAAGCGGUGGAGCAUGCGGCUUAAUUCGACGCAACGCGAAGAACCUUACCAAGGCUUGACAUAUAGCGAAAAGUGGCAGAGAUGUCAUGUCCGCAAGGGCGCUAUACAGGUGGUGCAUGGUUGUCGUCAGCUCGUGUCGUGAGAUGUUGGGUUAAGUCCCGCAACGAGCGCAACCCUCGUUCUGUGUUACCAGCAUUUAGUUGGGGACUCACAGGAGACUGCCGGGGUCAACUCGGAGGAAGGUGGGGAUGACGUCAAAUCAUCAUGCCCCUUAUGUCUUGGGCUGCACGCAUGCUACAAUGGCCGGUACAAAGUGCUGCGAGAUCGUAAGAUUGAGCGAAUCACAUAAAGCCGGUCUCAGUUCGGAUUGAGGUCUGCAACUCGACCUCAUGAAGUCGGAGUUGCUAGUAAUCGUAGAUCAGCAACGCUACGGUGAAUACGUUCCCGGGGCUUGUACACACCGCCCGUCACGUCACGAAAGUCGGUAACACCCAAAGUUAGUGGCCCAACCGUAAGGGGGGAGCUACCUAAGGUGGGAUCGGUGAUUGGGACGAAGUCAUAACAAGGUAACCGUA
This 1261-nucleotide ribosomal RNA is filed under the name uncultured bacterium. RNAcentral describes it as "partial 16S ribosomal RNA". It matches the Rfam family "Bacterial small subunit ribosomal RNA", at positions 219 to 1504 of the family's 1533-position model. The record is from RNAcentral.